This 1937-nucleotide small RNA is filed under the name Pan troglodytes (chimpanzee). RNAcentral describes it as "retained intron". The record is from RNAcentral. Lineage: Eukaryota; Metazoa; Chordata; Mammalia; Primates; Hominidae.
AGUGCUGAAAAGGAGCCUCUGGAAGAGAGGGCCUUCUCCCGCUUCUCUCCUCCUCCUCUCCAUGCUGGGGGGAUCCUGGUCACCUCUGACAAAAUUCUGGGGACGCUGGGAACACUGAGUCACCAUGGGCAAUGAGAACAGCACCUCGGACAACCAGGUGGGUGUCAGGAAGCUUCUCUCUCGAGCUACAUGGUGCUCUUGGCAGACCUUGACUAGGUUCUUUUUACAGCGUCUCAUCUUCACCCAGGAAGGAGCAAACAAGACAGCUUCUGCGUAAAUGCGUGCAGGCAUUUAUGGAUCUAUGCAGCCAUUUUUCAUUUCAUUGGAAUUCUCUUACGAUUAAGGCUAGCUCUAGUUAAAGCCGGAAACGCUAAUUCUACUUAUUAUUUAUUAUUAUUUUUAAAGACAUGGUCUUGCUCUGUCACCCAGGCUUGAAUGCAGUGGCAUGAUCAUAGCUCACUGCAGCCUCAAACACCUGGACUAAAGUGAUCCUCCUGCCACACAGCCUUCCAAGUAUCUGGGACUACAGGCAUGCACCACCACACCUGGCUAAUUUUUUAAUGUUUAGGUUUUGUAGAGAUGGGGUCUGGCUAUGUUGCCCAGGCUGGCCUUGAGCUCCUGGACUCAAGCAAUUCUCCUUCUUUGGCUCCCCAAAGCGCUGGGAUUACAAGUAUGAGCCACCAUUACAGGCAUGAGCCACCAGGCCUGGCCUUACUUUUUAUUCUGUCUUCUAAAACUGACAUAAGAGAGAUUGGCACAUUUUCCCUAGGUUGUGUCCACCCAUCAACUUACAUGGAUUUAGCAGAGGUUAAAAUAAAACCUUUCCACACUGCUCCCCCAAAUAAAGCUAUGGCCAUUAAAAAAUGAUUUUGAAAUCUAUCAGUGUUGGGCAGAUUAAAUGUGAGUGGUCAUUCUCAUGUUAAACAAGGUUUUCACAAUUGAAGAAUGGACUUUAACUGCUUAAUUGUGCGUAGGCUGAGAUAUUACAACAUAUUCAAAUUUUUCAUUAUCUAUUUUAAGUUUGAAAGUUUUAACUUAAUGCGUUGGUGAACAAAAUCAGGGAGACACUUUCCCAUUUAUCUCACACAAACUGGGAAGUUUGGAUUAAUGACAUUGAGUUCCUUGAAUGAGAAAACUGGAUCUAAAAACCCACAUGCUGUAAUUCAUUUCCCUCUGCCUUUUUCUUCCCUACAAUUUUUUUUUUUUUUUGACAGAGUCUCUCUCUGUCACCCAGGCUGGAGUGCAGUGGCACAAUCUCCGUCUCCCCCCGGGUUCAAGCAGUUCUCCUGCCUCAGCCUCCCGAGUAGCUGGGAUUACAGGGGCCUGCCACCAUGCCCAGCUGAUUUUUGUAUUUUUAGCAGAGGCAGGGUUUCACCGUGUUGGCCAGGCUGGUAUCGAACUCCUGACUUCAGGUGAUCCACCCUUCUCGGCCUCCCAAACUGCUGGGAUUACAGGCAUGAGCCACCGCGCCUGGCCUCUACAAUUUUCUUUUCUCAAGAAAGAAAACAAAGUGUCAAAAGAAAAGUUGUCAAACUCCAGCAUCUUUAGGGGCAGGCCAGAAACAACAAUUGUGUUAAAAGACUGAGUGUGACCAUGGAAUACUAUGCAGCCAUAAAAAAGGAUGAGUUCACAUCCUUUGUAGGGACAUGGAUGAAGCGGGAAACCAUCAUUCUGAGCAAACUAUCGCAAGGACAGAAAACCAAACACCACAUAUUCUCACUCAUAGGUGGGAAUUGAACAAUGAGAAGACUUGGACACAGGAUGGGGAACAUCACACACUGGGGCCUGUCGUGGGGUUGGGGGAGGGGGAGGGAUAGCAUUGGGAGAUAUACCUAAUGUAAAUGACAAGUUAAUGCGUGCAGCAAACCAACAUGGCACAUGUGUACAUAUGUAACAAACCUGCACGUUGUGCACAUGUACCCUAGAACUUAAAGUAU